AGAGUUUGAUCAUGGCUCAGAACGAACGCUGGCGGCAGGCUUAACACAUGCAAGUCGAACGGGCACCUUCGGGUGUCAGUGGCAGACGGGUGAGUAACACGUGGGAACGUACCUUUCGGUUCGGGAUAACCCAGGGAAACUUGGGCUAAUACCGGAUACGUCCUUUGGGAGAAAGAUUCAUUGCCGAAAGAUCGGCCCGCGUCUGAUUAGCUAGUUGGUGAGGUAACGGCUCACCAAGGCGACGAUCAGUAGCUGGUCUGAGAGGAUGAUCAGCCACACUGGGACUGAGACACGGCCCAGACUCCUACGGGAGGCAGCAGUGGGGAAUAUUGGACAAUGGGCGCAAGCCUGAUCCAGCCAUGCCGCGUGAGUGAUGAAGGCCCUAGGGUUGUAAAGCUCUUUCGGCGGGGACGAUAAUGACGGUACCCGCAGAAGAAGCCCCGGCUAACUUCGUGCCAGCAGCCGCGGUAAUACGAAGGGGGCUAGCGUUGUUCGGAAUCACUGGGCGUAAAGGGCGCGUAGGCGGCCGAUCAAGUCGGGGGUGAAAGCCUGUGGCUCAACCACAGAAUUGCCUUCGAUACUGGUUGGCUUGAGACCGGAAGAGGUAAGUGGAACUGCGAGUGUAGAGGUGAAAUUCGUAGAUAUUCGCAAGAACACCAGUGGCGAAGGCGGCUUACUGGUCCGGUUCUGACGCUGAGGCGCGAAAGCGUGGGGAGCAAACAGGAUUAGAUACCCUAGUAGUCC
This 744-nucleotide ribosomal RNA is filed under the name uncultured bacterium. RNAcentral describes it as "bacterial SSU rRNA". It matches the Rfam family "Bacterial small subunit ribosomal RNA", at positions 8 to 796 of the family's 1533-position model. The record is from RNAcentral.